RNAcentral lists this ribosomal RNA (1038 nucleotides) under Plectolyngbya hodgsonii ANT.L52B.4. RNAcentral describes it as "bacterial SSU rRNA". It matches the Rfam family "Bacterial small subunit ribosomal RNA", at positions 395 to 1447 of the family's 1533-position model. The record is from RNAcentral. Lineage: Bacteria; Bacillati; Cyanobacteriota; Cyanophyceae; Leptolyngbyales; Leptolyngbyaceae.
UACCGCGUGAGGGAGGAAGGCUCUUGGGUUGUAAACCUCUUUUAUCAGGGAAGAAAGAAUGACGGUACCUGAUGAAUCAGCAUCGGCUAACUCCGUGCCAGCAGCCGCGGUAAUACGGGGGAUGCAAGCGUUAUCCGGAAUUAUUGGGCGUAAAGCGUCCGUAGGUGGCUUAUCAAGUCUGCUGUUAAAGAAUGCGGCUCAACCGCAUAUGGGCAGUGGAAACUGAUGAGCUAGAGUGCGAUAGGGGUUACAGGAAUUCCCAGUGUAGCGGUGAAAUGCGUAGAUAUUGGGAAGAACACCAGCGGCGAAAGCGUGUGACUGGGUCUGCACUGACACUGAGGGACGAAAGCUAGGGGAGCGAAAGGGAUUAGAUACCCCUGUAGUCCUAGCCGUAAACGAUGACAACUAGGUGUGGUUCGUAUCGACCCGAGCCGUGCCGUAGCCAACGCGUUAAGUUGUCCGCCUGGGGAGUACGCACGCAAGUGUGAAACUCAAAGGAAUUGACGGGGGCCCGCACAAGCGGUGGAGUAUGUGGUUUAAUUCGAUGCAACGCGAAGAACCUUACCAAGGCUUGACAUCCUGCGAAUCUCCUUGAAAGGGGAGAGUGCCUUCGGGAGCGCAGAGACAGGUGGUGCAUGGCUGUCGUCAGCUCGUGUCGUGAGAUGUUGGGUUAAGUCCCGCAACGAGCGCAACCCACGUUUUUAGUUGCCAUCAUUCAGUUGGGCACUCUAGAGAGACUGCCGGUGACAAACCGGAGGAAGGUGUGGAUGACGUCAAGUCAGCAUGCCCCAUACGCCUUGGGCUACACACGUACUACAAUGCGUUGGACAGAGGGUCGCAAGCGUGCGAGCGCAAGCCAAUCUCGUAAACCAACGCUCAGUUCAGAUUGCAGGCUGCAACUCGCCUGCAUGAAGGCGGAAUCGCUAGUAAUCGCAGGUCAGCAUACUGCGGUGAAUGCGUUCCCGGGCCUUGUACACACCGCCCGUCACACCAUGGGAGUUGGUCAUGCCCGAAGUCGUUACUCUAACCGUUCGCGGA